RNAcentral lists this ribosomal RNA (788 nucleotides) under uncultured Lactobacillus sp. RNAcentral's name for it is "bacterial SSU rRNA". It matches the Rfam family "Bacterial small subunit ribosomal RNA", at positions 28 to 776 of the family's 1533-position model. The record is from RNAcentral. Lineage: Bacteria; Bacillati; Bacillota; Bacilli; Lactobacillales; Lactobacillaceae.
GACGAACGCUGGCGGCGUGCCUAAUACAUGCAAGUCGAGCGAGCUUGCCUAGAUGAAUUUGGUGCUUGCACCAAAUGAAACUAGAUACAAGCGAGCGGCGGACGGGUGAGUAACACGUGGGUAACCUGCCCAAGAGACUGGGAUAACACCUGGAAACAGAUGCUAAUACCGGAUAACAACACUAGACGCAUGUCUAGAGUUUAAAAGAUGGUUCUGCUAUCACUCUUGGAUGGACCUGCGGUGCAUUAGCUAGUUGGUAAGGUAACGGCUUACCAAGGCAAUGAUGCAUAGCCGAGUUGAGAGACUGAUUGGCCACAUUGGGACUGAGACACGGCCCAGACUCCUACGGGAGGCAGCAGUAGGGAAUCUUCCACAAUGGACGCAAGUCUGAUGGAGCAACGCCGCGUGAGUGAAGAAGGGUUUCGGCUCGUAAAGCUCUGUUGGUAGUGAAGAAAGAUAGAGGUAGUAACUGGCCUUUAUUUGACGGUAAUUACUUAGAAAGUCACGGCUAACUACGUGCCAGCAGCCGCGGUAAUACGUAGGUGGCAAGCGUUGUCCGGAUUUAUUGGGCGUAAAGCGAGUGCAGGCGGUUCAAUAAGUCUGAUGUGAAAGCCUUCGGCUCAACCGGAGAAUUGCAUCAGAAACUGUUGAACUUGAGUGCAGAAGAGGAGAGUGGAACUCCAUGUGUAGCGGUGGAAUGCGUAGAUAUAUGGAAGAACACCAGUGGCGAAGGCGGCUCUCUGGUCUGCAACUGACGCUGAGGCUCGAAAGCAUGGGUAGCGAACAGG